Molecule: RNA transcript, 2273 nt
Organism: Malania oleifera
Lineage: Eukaryota; Viridiplantae; Streptophyta; Magnoliopsida; Santalales; Ximeniaceae
Exons: 9
Source: RefSeq, a predicted model, not a curated record
CUCUUGAACUUGAGGGUAAAAUUCCGUAAUUGCCCAUAAUCUUCGACAGUACUAAUCCCCUCAAUCCUUCCGAAGGAGGCGGCGGCAUAUUUGUCAAAUCACCAAGAAGAUUCAGAAGAAGCAUCACUAGUACAGCCAUGCUAGAAAUACCCUUCUGAACAAGCGGCUCUUCCACUACUCUUAAAUUUCCGCCGAAAUUUCUGAAGGACUUUUUCAGUUUUCUCACCGGAAGAAUCCUGGCAAUCUGCUUUCAAGCAUUCCAGCGAGCCUCUGCCCUCUAGAAGGCAAUCCUGUCUCCUCUCUCUGCUAUUUCAAACCAGUCUGUCCGCUAACUCCAUUCCUCAGCAUAGCAAUUCGGUCGGUGCGGGCAAGGUACAAUUUUCCUCCAAACCAACAAUUUUUGAGGAGCCUUCCUUUUCUAAUCCCUAGCAGACAGUCCACAGAGUAUCCUAUUAUCUUCUGGGGAGAACCCUCUUUUUAAGAAAGCAGACUCAUCAACCAAAUUUGUUUUUUUUUUAAUUUUUUUAUUUAACCUCUUGGUUGCCACGAACCUGCUUCAAAGACGAGCAGUGUCCGUCAAAUACCUGGCACUGGGUCACAACUUGGUCCAUAAGAUAACGCUGAUAUUUAAUUGCCAAAAUCGUUCAAUUCUACGAUUGCUUAGAGAUGGAAGACUGGGAUGAUGAGCAAAUUCCACCUCUUCUCAAUAAGGAGCAACCUGGAAAUAGAUGGGAUGAUGAAGAUGUUGAUGAUGUGAAGGAAUCUUGGGAGGAUGACGAUGAUCCUGCUCCGGAACCUGCUGCUGCACCUUCUACUGGAAAGACCUCAAAAAAACCAGUUACAAAGUCUAGUCAAAAGAAAGGAAAAGAAGUUGAAGUGACACAGGAAGUGCAGUUAGAUCCUGUAGCAGAGAAACUUCGACAACAACGGCUUGUGGAGGAAGCUGAUUUUAAGUCCACUACCGAACUGUUUGGGAAGGGAGGUGACGUCAAGUCCCUUGAUAACUUCAUUCCCAAAUCUGAAAGCGACUUUGUAGAGUAUGCGGAGCUUAUUUCACAUAAGAUCCGUGCUUAUGAGAAAAGUUUCCAUUAUAUUGGAUUACUUAAGGCAGUAAUGAGACAGUCAAUGACUACUUUGAAAGCAGCAGAUGCAAAAGAUAUUGCUUCUUCUAUAACUGCAAUCGCUAAUGAGAAGCUAAAGGCAGAGAAAGAAGCCAAUGUUGGUAAAAAGAGGACAGCUGCAAAGAAGAAACAGCUCCACCUUGACAAGCCUGAUGAUGAUUUGAUGGUCACUGCAUAUGAUGAUGUUGAUGAUUAUGAUUUUAUGUGAGCGUUUCAGUUGCCCAACAUUAUAGUUUUGAGCAUUAUAUACAGUUCCUCCAUGAAACUGAGAUGAUGGAUCUUGUGGUGUUACCCUCUUUCAAAAUUUUGGAGCUUGAUUUGAGCGCGUUGAUAUUGAGGUUCUAACAUAGUCUCUCUGGCAAAGAGAACACAAUCUCAUGACACAUAAUUAAAGAUUGAUCUUACAACUAUCAACAAUGGGUUGGCUUUGGCAGACAUGAGCAAGCAAGUUGCAAGUCUCUUUGUAUUGCAAUAGGGGGUUUUGGAUUUGAUUUUUUAUGAGGGGCUAUAUUUUUUUUGACCGACCUAAAAUGUAGGGCCUGGUCAAUUUUUCCCAGUUUGGUGCUGCUGGGAAGGGUCAGAAAGACUUUCAAGGUUAGUUUCAGGUAUCCGAAGAAAAAAGAAAGAGAAAAUAGGGCGCGCCCCAUGUUUUACGACAUGUGCUCCAAAUAUUUUUGGAAUUUGAAGUGAAAAAUGGUGCCCAAUGCCCUGUCAAUUUCCCACUGUUGGUUAUUUUAAAAUUUUGUUUUUGUCCUUAAUGCCCUGUGCCGUGCACAGGAAAAUGGAAAGGACUCGCUUUCUUGUGAUGGUUGAUGAAGAUUUGGAAUUUGGAUCAUGAAGCCCUCUUUGAUCUUUUUAGGACAAGCAACAUUGAAGAAAUAGCAAGUGUCUUUGAAAUAUCAAGCCCUAUAUAUUGAUGCCAUUUAAGUUAUUUUCUCCUUCCAUUUUAAUUUCCUCAUGCAUUAAUUAAUUCGUGCUUGGGCAUGUAUUUUUUUUUUAAUUUUAUCCAUGCCCCUAAUUAUUAGGGAACAAUAGACAUGAAACAAGCACAUUUGGCCCAAAAGACUCUGAAUGAGAGGAUGACAAAUAAACUCUCUGGAUUAGUUAUUGUACAUUCGUAAUUUAUAGCAUAACAAGAAGUUUCCAUUUUUA